This 301-nucleotide ribosomal RNA is filed under the name uncultured bacterium. RNAcentral describes it as "partial 16S ribosomal RNA". It matches the Rfam family "Bacterial small subunit ribosomal RNA", at positions 509 to 807 of the family's 1533-position model. The record is from RNAcentral.
CAGUCGCCGCGGUAAUACGUAGGGUGCGAGCGUUAAUCGGAAUUACUGGGCGUAAAGCGUGCGCAAGCGGUUUUGUAAGACAGGCGUGAAAUCCCCGGGCUCAACCUGGGAAUGGCGCUUGUGACUGCAAAGCUAGAGUGCGGCAGAGGGGGAUGGAAUUCCGCGUGUAGCAGUGAAAUGCGUAGAUAUGCGGAGGAACACCGAUGGCGAAGGCAAUCCCCUGGGCCUGCACUGACGCUCAUGCACGAAAGCGUGGGGAGCAAACAGGAUUAGAGACCCCCGUAGUCCCUGUCUCUUAUAC